This is a non-coding RNA of Triticum urartu, 1998 nucleotides long. NCBI's taxonomy places the organism in Eukaryota, Viridiplantae, Streptophyta, Magnoliopsida, Poales, Poaceae. The record is from RefSeq and is a predicted model, not a curated record.
GAACCUUCUCGUAGGAUGAACACAUGGUGUUAAGAGAGAAUAGGCCUAGUUUGAAGGCAAAGCGACCCAUGCUUCAUCCGUUGGCAUUGAAAGUUUUUCUACACUCAAGAUGCACCAUUACAUAGAGAGGUCUCGAACCCUCUCGUUCUCUCCCCACUGACCCAGGCGACUGAGAGGCGUUUUUGAGUAGUUCUCCCUCCGCCGGCGUGCGGCGCGUGCCCGCCGGUCCGCCCUGGCUCUGGCGGCCACUUUGGCCCCGGGAGGCAUGUCGGGCCCUAGCUCCUCGUCGGCGGUCGGGAUUAGGUUUCCUUGUGUGGGUAUUUGGUCCCUUAGUCGACCUCUUGGUAGAGCGGUGGUCAGCGGAUUUAGUAGGGAAUAAAGUCCCCCAACCCUUGCUCCUGCUCGCCGGAGGCUUCGCCGGCGCCAGUGGGAGGCAUGUGGAGGACAGGCGUAUGGAGCAGUUUUUUGUUUCGGCGGUGCGUUUUGGCGACCUCCUGCUAGGCGGUAAGGCCUCGUCCCCGGAUCCGGAGAUGAAGAUGCUCGCGGGGGGGGGGGGGGGGCAAACCUGCUUUCGGUUUCGCCUCCGACCAAUGUUUUCCAUCGCCAAGGAUCUAGGUCGCUGGGUUUGGUGGUUGCUGCGGUUCGUCAACUCCCUUAGGCAAGGGGUGUCUUCAGCUCCUUGGUUUGUUUUGGCUGCCGAUGUUCUCCUCUUUCGGCGACCGCGGAAGAUUUGGUCGGCUCGGAGAGUAGCAGUCUAUCCUCUUGUAUCCUCUUUGUAUUUUGUUGCUUGUAUGCGAAGCCGGAUUGUAUCCUUACUCAUAUGAAUACAAGUAGAGUACGCCUCUUUAAAAAAAAAGAUACACCAUUACAUGAACCAUGUCAAAAUGAAAUGAAUUAACACAAGGGUGCCAAGACUCAACCCUCAACAUUGUCUUCCGUUUUUUAAUUUCAAAAUGUAAACAAACUCCGAAAAGCCUGAAAAUACAUGUUGGAAAAUAUAUUCAGAUAGGGUACAGAAAAUAGAUUCCGUUCGAGUUAUCCAUGUCCAAGAACAAAUUUAAUUUAGUAAAAUAAAACAAAAAAAGUAAGGAAAAAAACCACGAAAAUGAAUAGUAGCAUGUGCGUUUCAAACCUAGCACGUCUUUGCAUUGCUAAUGCCAGAUAACCACUACAGUAAGCUACCAUUUCAAUGUAAAACACACACCGGACGUUUUUAUAGGAGGAAAUGAUUUUUUCUAGCCUGCUGCGUUCUGAUUGGACGAACCAGACCUCCCACGGAUCAAGCGUCUCCACCGUCCAUUCUUACCCGAUCCAACGGUCGCUGCUCCUUCUACUCUCUAUUUGUGCUUUCCCUGGUUCUUAUCCUCUCACACAGUACGCGAGCACGAUGCGAGCAGCAGCAGCAGAGCCCGACGAACUCCAGAGCUCGCAGCGGACGCAGGCCGCCGUCUGCGUGACGGGCCUCCGCCCGCACCUCCCACCGUAGCACGCCGCAAUGGAGGCCAAGCGCCCAUGGAAUCGUCUGAGCUCUCCUCCCAGCCGCCGUUCUCCUUCAAAUUCGUCGGGAUCCGGUUGGAUCUAGACGCCGGCGCCCCGUUCCCGACCUUCCCGCCUUGCUUGGGUCGUCGGCCACCGCGACGAUGUCAAUAUCGCUCGCGGGAUCCAGCGCCACCGCUGCUGGCCACUUCCUCGCCUGGAGGAGAUGCCCCCACAUCCGCGGCUCCCCACACGAGCAGCAGCAGCGAACACGUCGCUAAGGCCGUCUCCGGCGGUGUCUUUUUCUUUUUAUAGAAGUUUGCCAAAUCUGUGCCAGAACAGCCAUGGCGAUGAACUCCAGCUCAAGGCCCGCGAGCGCUUGGUGGCGUUUGAUGCGGUGCCUGGAGAAUAUCUCUGGGCAGAGUAGUAGGCCAGAUCUAGUUUAGGAAAAAAAAAUCUGUAAUUCCAAGUUUUUCUUGUGUAUUUCUUCUUUUUGGUAAAACAAAUUUUAGUUAUCUGGUA